Labeo rohita (rohu) is the source of this 389-nucleotide non-coding RNA. The record is from the annotation of a RefSeq genome assembly. NCBI's taxonomy places the organism in Eukaryota, Metazoa, Chordata, Actinopteri, Cypriniformes, Cyprinidae.
UGUGCGCAAAACAUCAAAACUCAACAUGUCAAGGGGUAUUAUUGUAUUAAUUCUGUUACUCCACUGGAGCGAAGACACUGUGGGUGCAGAUGAUGUUAUUCAAACCCCUAAAAUGAUUUGGGAACCAAAGAGUGGUUCUGCUUCUUUGAACUGCAGUCACAAUAAGGGUGCUUCAUACUACCAGAUGUACUGGUACCGACAACGUCCAGGAGAGACUAUGAGGCUCAUUGUAUUCCAGUACGACUGAUAAAAAAGAGUUUGGAGAUGUUGAUGAGAAGAAAUUUGAUGCUCAAAAAAGUGAUGCUGAAAGUGGAUCUUUGACAGUGAAAGAUCUAAAGCCUGAAGACAGUGGCAUAUAUUUCUGUGCAGUGAGUGAACACAAUCAGUGA